GAUGAACGCUGGCGGCGUGCCUAAUACAUGCAAGUCGAGCGAACAGACGAGGAGCUAGCUCCUCUGACGUUAGCGGCGGACGGGUGAGUAACACGUGGAUAACCUACCUAUAAGACUGGGAUAAAUUCGGGAAACCGGAGCUAAUACCGGAUAAUAUAUUGAACCGCAUGGUUCAAUAGUGAAAGACGGUUUUGCUGUCACUUAUAGAUGGAUCCGCGCCGCAUUAGCUAGUUGGUAAGGUAACGGCUUACCAAGGCAACGAUGCGUAGCCGACCUGAGAGGGUGAUCCGCCACACUGGAACUGAAACGCGGUCAAGACUCCUACAGUAGGCAGCAGUAUGGAAUCUUCCGCAAUGGGCGAAAGCAUGACGGAGCAACGCCGCGUCAGUGAUGAAUGUCUUCGGAUCGUAAAACUCUGUUAUUAGGGAAGAACAAAUGUGUAAGUAACUUUGCACUUCUUGACGGUAUCUAUUCAGAAAGCCACGGCUAACUACGUG
This 497-nucleotide ribosomal RNA is filed under the name uncultured bacterium. RNAcentral describes it as "partial 16S ribosomal RNA". It matches the Rfam family "Bacterial small subunit ribosomal RNA", at positions 28 to 507 of the family's 1533-position model. The record is from RNAcentral.